RNAcentral lists this long non-coding RNA (567 nucleotides) under Homo sapiens (human). RNAcentral describes it as "HSALNT0318590". The record is from RNAcentral. Lineage: Eukaryota; Metazoa; Chordata; Mammalia; Primates; Hominidae.
GUUAAGUGUCAUAUUACCGUAUAUAAAAUUCUCUCAUGCUAACAACUGGCAUACUAUCAAUUUCUCCUGAAGAGCAUAGAAACUUCUUCUGACAACAUAAGUCAAGUCAGGAACCAUCAGAACCUACAACUCAGAAAGAUAACCAGGUCGCCAAUCAUUUACUCAACUAUUCCACCAUCCAGUAUUGUAUGGUUGAAUCAGAAAUCGUGCUAAAACAUGUUUUUAACCUGGCACUUCAAAGUAUUCACAUUUUCAACAAUAUGCUUUCAGCAAAUGAAUUGUGUCAUGAAAAUUCCAGCUUAAGUCUAAAUGGAUCAGCCAUAAAGGCAAAUUAUCUGUUGAACAAUAUAGUCAGCUUCUGUAAAGAAUGUACUUUCUAUGCCAAAUAUGAUCUUUCCACAGUUGAAUAAACACUUGGUGCAAUGAAAUUGCUGGCAGUCCUCUUGGUGGUUUCUGUUCGUGUGUAUUUCCCUGACUGUUGUAUCUCCAUCUCAUACACUUUGCCAGUCAUUCAAAACAGUUAUUUCAUGCAUCAGGAAUAUCAAGAUGCUUUUGAGAUGGGUUAUG